RNAcentral lists this non-coding RNA (23 nucleotides) under Cricetulus griseus (Chinese hamster). The record is from RNAcentral. Lineage: Eukaryota; Metazoa; Chordata; Mammalia; Rodentia; Cricetidae.
UUUUGGACAGGUUUUUAGCUACA